This 492-nucleotide ribosomal RNA is filed under the name uncultured bacterium. Its description in RNAcentral is "partial 16S ribosomal RNA". It matches the Rfam family "Bacterial small subunit ribosomal RNA", at positions 29 to 507 of the family's 1533-position model. The record is from RNAcentral.
AGUGAACGCUGGCGGUAGGCCUAACACAUGCAAGUCGAACGGCAGCACCGUAAGAGCUUGCUCUUACGGGUGGCGAGUGGCGGACGGGUGAGGAAUACAUCGGAAUCUACUUUUUCGUGGGGGAUAACGUAGGGAAACUUACGCUAAUACCGCAUACGACCUACGGGUGAAAGCAGGGGAUCUUCGGACCUUGCGCGAUUGAAUGAGCCGAUGUCGGAUUAGCUAGUUGGCGGGGUAAAGGCCCACCAAGGCGACGAUCCGUAGCUGGUCUGAGAGGAUGAUCAGCCACACUGGAACUGAGACACGGUCCAGACUCCUACGGGAGGCAGCAGUGGGGAAUAUUGGACAAUGGGCGCAAGCCUGAUCCAGCCAUACCGCGUGGGUGAAGAAGGCCUUCGGGUUGUAAAGCCCUUUUGUGGGGAAAGAAAAGCAGCAGGUUAAUACCCCGCUGUUCUGACGGUACCCAAAGAAUAAGCACCGGCUAACUUCGUG